Oryctolagus cuniculus (rabbit) is the source of this 5111-nucleotide non-coding RNA. The record is from RefSeq and is a predicted model, not a curated record. Lineage: Eukaryota; Metazoa; Chordata; Mammalia; Lagomorpha; Leporidae.
CGCGCCCUCACCUAGCCGGAAAGGUGGGAUAAGGGGGGGGCCCCUCACAUGGGGCCCGAGCUCGGAGGCAGCCGGGCGGCGCGGAGUCCUCCUGGGUCGUGGCAGUGGGCAGACACAGAGCCGAAAGUGGCGGACUUGGGCGGCCACAGCUUCCCCCGGCUUCCUGUUUCCCAGCGUGUUUGUGCAGUCCCAUCUUGUUGGAAGCUUUCGUCAACUGUGCAGACCUUCUACUCUUCCUUCACAGAUGCCUCCCCCCUGCCGUCUCUGUGUCUGCUGUCACGCCUCUCUCCUGUGUCUCCUCCUGGUUGCUAGGCACGGGACAGGGACCCGAGGAACCAACAACUGCAAAUGCCAACGUGUACCUCGUACCCCUGAUUUUAACCAUUCACCUCCCCUUUGCUUCUGGGAUCCUGGAACCGCCUUAUCAGCAUUUCCCUAUGGUGGUCUCGGCAUCUUCAAAGCCCAGGAUUUUGUAGAGCAAUUGGACCGUUUGUGUUCUGAUCCCUGUGACCAUAUCAGAGUGCAGCUUCCGCUAUUCGAUUAAACCAGUUUCCACCCCGCCUCCAACAGUUCUUCCAGAAUUGGGUUGAAAUAUAGCUUUUGCUGAUGGCUCUUCCUCCGCUCUCUUUGCCAUUCUAUGUUUCUUUAAACAAAAAACGUCUUUUUUUCAAGGGACAAUGAAGAUAAACCAGUGUUGGUUAGCCUGCCAUCUUUAAUCCAAAGUGCAUUUCCAAAAUCACCUAAUGGUUUUCUGGAACUAUCUCAAAUUUGUUUAUAGCUACACUACUCCUUAUGUUGGUUUGUGAUUGGUCAAGAUGGCUUUCUUCCUCUCUAACAUCUAACAGCUGAGCCUUGAUUAGACCGAUUGGGUCUGUUUUCCUGGUUGGUUAACUGCUGCUAUAUUGAGUGUUCAGAUCACCGAAGGGGCACUUUCAAAUUUACCAACCAUGGCAUGGCUGCUAUUAUACAGUGGCUUUGAUUCCCUUGGCACGAGAUUUGAAAAUGAGUAAGAAAGUUGCUGGCACCCUGAUCAUGAGACAACACCAUGCUUUCCCCAGGGGCUUUUAGCUACAAACACUUAAAUACGGCCCUGCUAUCAAGCCUGGUCCCUGGGUGGACCGUCAGCAUCAGAUCACCUGUGAGGAACUUGUUAAGAAUGCAAAUUCACCCACUCACCCCAGACCUACUGAAUGAGAAACCCAAGGAGAUGGGCGGGCAGCAAUGUGUUGUCUAAUGAGCUCUCCAGGAGUUUGAGAAACGCAUUUCUAGAGGCUGGAGUGCCAUAUCCUUAGCCACUGAAGGCGGUCAUCCCAAAUUAUGCUGCACACCGAGUUUUCCCAUGGGCAGUCAUGGGGCUCCUUAGUGGAUUUCACCUGUCUGGAUGAUUGCCUUCCCGGUCCUCUGAUUGUUUACUUAAUGGUUGACCACUGUCCUUAAUAGGAGUAGUUAGCAAAUUACAGAAAGGAGCCUCAAAUCUGCCACAGUAUGGCCAUGGGGAUCUUAGGAGCUUCGGCACAGCAUUUGAAGGUCAUUUAAGAGGCAACAGCAAAGCAAACAUUGAUGUAGAAGCUAGUGACAAAAUCAUGCUAUUUUUAGACCACAUGAUUUCAUUGAUGAGAUUAAAAGUUCAGUCAAGUUCCCAGGGGAAAAUUAUACUGUUGGUUGGAGUCCUGGUCUUUAGCAUCUAGUAAGAUGGCUGAAGUCAUUUUCCUAAAGUAAUAAACUUAGGAUUUCAUGUGCAUUGCCAUUUCACACCUUGUUAAGUGAGACUUGGGGAAAAGAUGCUAUUCUGGGGCAUCUACGCAGAAGAACCCACUUUGCAAGGCUUCAGAUCUAGUCCAGCAGGUCUGCCUGCCUGCUGCUGUGUCUCCCCCCACCAGUGUUACACACAGGGCCCCUGCAGCGGGUCUGCCAUUGGAUCUACCGAGGAACAGUGCCAAGCGGUGUCUCAGGCUGAUUCACGCUAUAAAAACGCUAACAUGUUCAAUUGGCUGUUAUCCCAAAGAGGGAAACUUGGAAAGAAUAAAAUGUACCUGGGUGCCCGAAUUCCAAUCAGCCCCGGAAUGUGCAGCUCAACCAAGUGAGCAGUAAAAUGACAGUUUCCUUGUGGUUUGGGGACACUUCUUCAGCCAGUAGCCAGCGAAGGUUUGCAGAUUUCCUUCAAUCAGCACUGGUUUCUGUUGCUGGCCUGGCCAUUAGUAAUCUCUCAGCAGAAAGCACGGGCUCAGGGAAGAAGCACUGCACAAGUCUGUGCUCCAUCCUGAAUCUCCAGGGAUAGAAGAGAGGGCGAGGAAAUGAGAGGUUAACAGCGGGCCGCAAAGUGUGGACAUUGGAAAGGCACUAAGGAAGUAGGAACUGAGUAUCAGAGCUGAGCAAGAUGAGCCCCGAACAUUUUGAGGAUCAAAGCUGUUUAGCCUGGAAACCUCAGACAAGCUUAGGAAAUCCAGUUUCCCAUGGUCGGUGAAGGUGGGAGUGAGUGAGCGGCAGGGUUGAUGGCAGACACAAAACUACUGGACCGGUAUAUCCAAACCCGAGCCAGCACAAGCAGGCCCUGUCUAUAUCCAUCUGUAGGGCUUCCAUAACAGUACCAUACACCAUGUGGGUUAAGCAACAGAAAUCCACCUUCUCACAUUUCUGGGAGACAGAAGUCCAGGCUCACAGGUGAGCGUCUUCUGACUGUACUGUCACGUGGUAUUUUCACUGUACACGCUCAUCUCCAUGUCCUAACCUCUUCUUAGAAGGACAUCAGCGAUACUGGACUGAGGUUACUCACGUGUCCUCAUUCCACCUUCUUACCUCUUCAACAACUCUCUAAGUAUAGUCACCUUCUGAGGCUGUGGGAGGUUAGGACUGCCACCAUAGGAGCUUGUAGAGAUGCAGUUCAGCUCAAAGCAUCCUCCUCCAGGCCUGCGGGAGACAAUGUAUAUUCUAGCCAAACUGAACCAGGAAGACUUGUAGGCUUGGGUGCGUCAGGAGAACCAUCGGGAGUGAGGCACCAGACCUACAGCAAGGUGAGUGAGUGAAAGGUCACAUACUAAUCAAUGAGAUACCAUCUCCUAGCUCCCUCCACCCAGUUUGCUGAGCUGGGUUUAUACCACCACCUCCCAUGUCUCUCCCCCAAGGCAGGGGAUCAGAGGAUCUGUGAAUAAAUUAAAGAUCCUAGAGAAAAGAUCUACGGAUAUUGAUGUAUGGGUGUUCCCUGAGCAGAGACAGAGAAGCAAAGAGCCUGCUGUCUACCAGGUCUCCUUCCAGCAAACCGCAUUCCCUCCAGCCUCACAGAAAGCCUCUGUUAAGCUUCUUGUGCCACACUUUUAUUUAUUUAUUUAUUUAUUUAUUUUUAAACUUUUUUUUUUGACAGGCAGAGUGGACAGUGAGAGAGAGAGACAGAGAGAAAGGUCUUCCUUUACCGCUGGUUCACUCUCCAAUGGCCGCCGCGGCUGGAGUGCUGCAGCCGGUGCACCACACUGAUCUGAAGCCAGGAGCCAGGUGCUUCUCCUGGUCUCCCAUGGGGUGCAGGGCCCAAGCACUUGGGCCAUCCUCCACUGCACUCCCUGGCCACAGCAGAGAGCUGGCCUGGAAGAGGAGCAACCAGGACAGAAUCCGGCGCCCCGACCGGGACUAGAACCAGGGGUGCUGGCACUGCAGGUGGAGGAUUAGCCUAGUGAGCCGCAGUGCCGGCCAUACUUUUAUUUUUUUAAAAUACUUAUUUAUUUAUUUGAAAGAGUUACACAGAGAGAGAAGGAGAGGCGGGGGGGGGGCGAGUCUUCCAUCUGCUGGUUUACUCCCCAGUUGACCCCAAUGGCCAGAGCUGUCCCGAUCUGAAGCCAGGAACCAGGAGCUUCUUCUGAGUCUCCCACAAGGGUGCAAGGGCCCAAGGACUGGGGCCAUCUUCUACUGUUUUCCCAGGCUGUAGCAGAGAGCUGGAUCAGAAGUGGAGCAGCCGGGACUAGAACUGGCGUCCAUAUGGGAUGCCAGCGCUUCAGGCAGUGGCAUUACCUGCUAUGCCACAGUGCCAGCACCUAUGCCAUACUUUUAAAUAUAAAUAUGAUGGGGGUUGGCGUUGUGGCAUAGCAGGUAAAGCCACCACCUGCAGUGCCAACAUCCCAUAUGGGCACCGGUUUGAGUCCUGGCUGCUCCACUUCUGAUCCAGCUCUCUGUUAUGGCUUAGGAAAGCAGUAGAAGAUGGCCCAAGUGCUUGGGCCCCUGCACCCACAUUGGAGAUCCAGAAUAAGUUCCUGACUCCUGGCUUUGGAUCAGCACAGUUCCAGCCAUUGCAGCCUUUUGGGGAGUGAACUAACAAAUGGAAGAUCUCUCCCUCUCUGCCUCUGCUUCUCUGCCUUUCAAAUAAAUAAAUAAAUGUUAAAUAUAUAUAUAUAUGUAUAUUAGCCAGCGCCGCGGCUCACUAGGCAAAUCCUCCGCCUUGCGGCGCCGGCACACCGGGUUCUAGUCCCAGUUGGGGCACCAGAUUCUGUCCCGGUUGCCCCUCUUCCAGGCCAGCUCUCUGCUGUGGCCAGGCAGUGCAGUGAAGGAUGGCCCAAGUCCUUGGGCCCUGCACCCCAUGGGAGACCAGGAGAAGUACCUGGCUCCUGCCAUCGGAUCAGCGUGGUGCACCGGCCGUAGCGUGCCAGCCGCGGCGGCCAUUGGAGGGUGAACCAACGGCAAAGAAAGACCUUUCUCUCUGUCUCUCUCUCACUGUCCACUCUGCCUGUCCAAAAAAAAAAAAAAUAUAUAUAUAUAUAUAUGUACACACACACACAUAUAUAAACAUGAAGGGGUCAGCAUUGUGGCACAGUGGGUUAAGCCACCACUUGGGCUGCCAACAUCCCACAUGAGCACUUGUCCGAGUCCCAGCUGCUCCACUUCCAAUUCAGCUCCCUGCUGAUGCCUCUGGGGCAGCAGCGAAUGAUGGCCUAGGUAUUUGCCUGCCGUACACAUGUAGGAGACCAGGACAGAGUUCCAGGCUCCUGCUUCAGCCUGCUCCAGCCCUGGCCAUUGCAGCCAUGUGGGGAGUAAACCAGUGGAUGGAAGAUCUCUCUCUGUCGUUGGUCUUCUGUAUAUAAAGUUAAUUAAAAAUGAAUCUUAAUGAAGAAUGGAAUGGGAGAAGGAGUAGG